Long non-coding RNA from Vidua chalybeata, 1866 nucleotides. RefSeq lists it as uncharacterized. The record is from RefSeq and is a predicted model, not a curated record. Lineage: Eukaryota; Metazoa; Chordata; Aves; Passeriformes; Viduidae. The transcript is spliced from 2 exons.
GGCACCUCCAUGGGAGGCAUGCGAAGGAGGCUGCCACGUGUACCCCUCAGACAAGUUCCUGUGGGACAAAUACCUGGCCAGGGGCUGUCAUGUCACCAGACAGCUCCUGGUGGGGAUGAGCUGGGAGUCAGGAUGACAGAAGCUGUAAAUAUCACAAAUAAAUCCCAUUCCUGGAACAUGUGAGGGUGAAGAGGAAGUGCCCUACAACUUAAUAGGUCAGGUUUUUAUCACAACUCUUCAUCUGGAAAACCGUACAGAACGUGCCCACAGAAGAUGUCUGGCACUAGUCUGGAAAACAACGUAUAAUGUCAGCAGAGCCCUGAAGAGAGGAAUAUAACACAGUUAAACAAAGCCUGGAUUGAGUUUAGCUCACCUUUAUUUCCAGCUUCAACCAACAAACCUCUUUUCUGACUGCAGCUGAUCUCAGGCCCUGCUGGUAAUGGGAAACAAAAUUCCCCUUUUCCCAGCUGCCUGAUUUUUUGAGGGUCAUUCCUGCAGUAACCCAUGGGGUGCAGUAACCCAUGGGGUGUUUUAUACAUCCUGAGCCAUGAGGAGCCAGGAAGAGGCUGGUGGCCAAAAAUGGUCUGGUGUGGUCCUAUGUCGACUUUUCAAACCUCAUGCAAUGAAUUCCCAUUUCCUGUUGCUUCCUGCCCUGACAGCCAUUUGUCCUCACCAGCUGCAGCAGUUCUGUUUGGGCCAUGCAGCAGGAGAGGGGCUAGAAGGUACCUCCAAAGUGGGUCCUGUGUUUGGAAGACCCACCCCUCAAAACCAACACCUUUUCCAUCUGUGGGUUGGUGUUGGGAGCCCUCCUGCCUUGCAAGCAAUGAGAACGCUCAGAAGAGUUAUUGACUUCUUCCCUCGGCUCUUCUCCCAUGCCAGGGCUAAAACUUUUCUGUCCCUGCUUACGACAGGGUGGGAAAAGCAGUAAUACAAGUUGUGGGCCCUCCCUCUAAGUAGACAGCAAUGCGUUUGGACCAUCAGCCUGAGUUUCAGAUCACUGCAUGGGGUCUGCAUCCCACCCCGGAGCCUGCAUCCCACCCCGGAGCCUGCAUCCCACCCUGGAGCCUGCAUCCCACCCUGGAGCCUGCAUCCCACCCCGGAACCUGCAUCCCACCCCGGAACCUGCAUCCCACCCCGGAGCCUGCAUCCCACCCUGGAGCCUGCAUCCCACCCUGGAGCCUGCAUCCCACCCCGGAACCUGCAUCCCACCCCGGAACCUGCAUCCCACCCUGGAGCCUGCAUCCCACCCCGGAGCCUGCUGACUUGUCCGGGCAGGUACAGGUGUUACCGGCACUGUAACACCUCUAAGGACUGGUUUGACAGGCUGCUCCUGCCUUUUGCUAACUCCCACUCCCAAAUUCAUUUUGGGAAACUUGCCACAGGCUGCCCCAUCUCACAGGUGCCCCAGAACUGGGUUUCCCUGCUGUGUUUACACACUGUUGGCCAAGGGCCAAACCGCUCUGAGAAUUAUUGCUUUCCUUCCUGCUGGGCUGUUUCUACAACAUCUGAUGUGAUAUGAGAAGUGUCACAGCCUGGGGGGAGCGAAGGAUGGUCCCAUCCCCAUGGGUCUCCCAAGAACCACACAUGCAAUUGCAUCUGACUUGUGAAACCAUGGCUGGAAUGGAGGGUGAUGCAUUCCUGGGGUCUGGAAGAUAAGCUGCCCCCUGCUUCACCCACCCUCGCUGCCAUGCCCAUCUCAUGGAAGAAAUCCCUUCUGAGGAAGGCAGUGAGGGGGGCUCUGUAGCCCCCUGUGCCUGAGGUGCUUUUGUCUGCCUGCUGGAUCCUGGCUGAUGGAUGGCUGCAGGCAGCAAAUUUGAGCAGCAUCUCCAUGCCAAUUUAAAUAAAUAAAUGAGUCUGAAUGCUUCA